AUUCCCCGCAGGCUCAAGCUGGCCGGGGCCGGGUUACUUUCAAACCAGGAGGAGAUCCUGGCUGAAGAGGUUUAAGAACUGCCGAGUGCAUCGGUGUGAAUGACCUCCGGGCCCAAACGUUUCUGCACUGCAUGCUGCAAACAAAGAAUAUGAAGAAAGGAAGAGGAGGACCGGACCGGCACAGUUCCUUUGUGUCUGGAUAGAAUAAAGGUAUCUUAGCCUGAAAAAAAUAAGGCAUACACAUCUCAGGCAGAGUUAUCAGUUAAAGAAUAGAUGCUCACAAAAACCUGUUCCCUUCUGAAACCUUACUAAAAUAGUAAAUUUUAAGAGUAAAUAUUAAAAUAAAUUAAUAAUGAAAUAUUAAAUUUACUAUUUUAAAAUAGUAAAUGUUUAAAAGGCAAUAACCCACAAACACAGAACAUGGAAAACAAAAUUUUUGCAAAGUGGAAAGUCUUUAGAUGAAUGGUAAUUUAGAUGAAAGAAAGAUGAAUCCUAAAGCCAGCAAUGGGAAAGCAGAAAAGCAGUUUGGUUUGCAUCACAGAACUCCCUAAAGGCUCAAGUUGAAUUAGUGACAACAGGUACUGAAUGAGGUGAAGGAGGGGCUAAAAGAGGGUAAAAGACUAUGUAUGAAGCGAAUAGACCCUUGGGUCCCCUCUCUCCUCUGUGUAUACAAGGAACUGCCCCUCCCCGAAGCUGGUACUAGACUUGAGAGGGUAAAUACAUGGUUAUCUGAACUGGAGACCAUCAGGCACAGUUAAGGGUUAGGUACCUAACUGAAACCAAAAGGAUUAAGUUUAUGCACUGAAGGUUGAACCUGUGAGCCUUCUUUCCUCACUUUACUCCCAGAAAUCUGGCAGCCUGGCUUGUAUCCUUCAGAGGACAUAAAAGCCUUCUCAAGGGAAUCCUACCUAUAUAGAAGAAAAGAUCUAAAGAUACCAAUAUCAGGGAUUUCAUAAUGUAACAACGCAGCCAGAUCACAGGAGAAUGAAGCCCACAUUGAAUAAGCCCCACCCCACCCCAAACCAAACAACCUUCCAGUCAGCUUUUUAGGGUCCCACUCUUUAAUAAGAGCAAACAAGCAAGACUUUGAAAAGGGCUUUAAUAUGAAAGAUGUCCAAACAAAGGAAUAUUCAAACAAAAAGCUCUUGGAUAUUAAAAAAAAAUACAUGAUAGUAGAAAAAAAGUAAACAAAAUAGAUAGGUUAGGAACAAGAAGUUUAGGAAAUCUCCAGAAGGAAGAAUAAAGAUGGGAAACAGAGGAUUAAAUAUAAGAAUAUUGGGAGACUAAUCUAGGAAGUCCAAAAUCCAAGUAACUUAUUUUUCACAACAAGAAAGGGAGUCAGGGGAAUCCACAAAUAACUCAAGAAAAUUUCCCAGACAAAAGAACUUGACCUUCCAUACUUUUUCCAUACUUUUCCAAACUUGACUUUUCCAAGUUUAAAGUACCCAGCUUCUGAACACAUCAUUGGGAAAAUUUCAAAAUAUUACAUACAAAGAGAAGAUACUAAGAGGUCUGGGGAGGGAGUGAGAGGGAAUGGACACAUACAAAAAAAAUAAGAAUCAGAAUAUCAUUGCAUUUCUCAGCAUUUAGAAGACAGAAAACAAUGGGCCAAUGCCUUCAAAAAUAAUUCUAAGGAAACAGGUACUGAAUGAGGUGAAGGUAGGGCUAAAAGAGUGUGAAGGACUAUGUAUGAAGCGAAUAGACCCUUGGGUCCCCUCCCUCCUCCCAACCUGGAACUCUAUACCUAGCCAACCUAUGAAUCGUGUGAUGACAGACACUCAAGAUCUCAAGAAAUUUAUCUCCCACACACUCUCUCAGGAAGGUAGUGGUGAUAAGUCAAGAAAGAAGUCAGGGGAUUAACACACAAUAUAACAGUGAAAGGAUACACCAACCCAAGAGGUGUGUAGCAAACCUAGAGAGUAAACCAAUCCAAACUGGAAUAUACCAAAACAGAA
This is a long non-coding RNA of Physeter macrocephalus (sperm whale), 1955 nucleotides long. RefSeq lists it as uncharacterized. The record is from RefSeq and is a predicted model, not a curated record. Lineage: Eukaryota; Metazoa; Chordata; Mammalia; Artiodactyla; Physeteridae. The transcript has 2 exons.